UUGUUAAUAAUUUAAAGUCUAACCUGCCCAAUGAUUAAAAUUUAAUGGCCGCAGUAUUUUGACUGUGCAAAGGUAGCAUAAUCAUUAGUUUCUUAAUUAGGGACUGGAAUGAAUGGUUGGAUGAGAAAAAAACUGUCUUUAUUUAAUUUUAUUAGAAUUUUAUUUUUAAGUAAAAAAGCUUAAAUUUUUUUUAAAGACGAGAAGACCCUAUAGAGUUUAAUAUAAUAUUAAAUUUUUAUUUUUAGGAAUUUAAAUAUAGAUAUUUAAUAUUUAUAUUUAAUUGGGGUGAUUAAGAAAUUAAGUUAACUUUCUUAUAUUUUUAUCAUUGAUUUAUGAUUUAAUUGAUCCAAGUUUUUUGAUUAUAAGAUUAAAUUACCUUAGGGAUAACAGCGUAAUUUUUUUGGAGAGUUCUAAUCGAUAAAAAAGUUUGCGACCUCGAUGUUGGAUUAAAAUUUAGGAUUGGUGCAGUAGCUAAUCUUUUAGGUCUGUUCGACCUUUAAAAUUUUACAUGAUCUGAGUUUAAACCGGUGUGAGCCAGGUUGGUUUCUAUCUUGAAUUUAUUAUAAUAUUUUAGUACGAAAGGACCAAUUAUUAGUAAUAUUUAUUUAUUUUGAAUAGUAUUGUUACUUUGGCAGAUUAGUGCAUUAAAUUUAGAAUUUAAUUAUGUAUUUUUAUACAGGUAAUACUUGAUUUUAAAGGAUUAUUUUUUAAUAUUUUUAAGAGGUUUAAUUUUAGUUAUUUUUGUUUUAGUAGGUGUA
RNAcentral lists this ribosomal RNA (758 nucleotides) under Sternolophus marginicollis. Its description in RNAcentral is "partial 16S ribosomal RNA". The stretch from base 1 to 577 matches the Rfam family "Bacterial large subunit ribosomal RNA", at positions 1836 to 2925 of the family's 2925-position model. The record is from RNAcentral. Lineage: Eukaryota; Metazoa; Arthropoda; Insecta; Coleoptera; Hydrophilidae.